Molecule: long non-coding RNA, 431 nt
Filed under: Felis catus (domestic cat)
Lineage: Eukaryota; Metazoa; Chordata; Mammalia; Carnivora; Felidae
Description: lncRNA (ENSFCAG00000051191.1)
Source: RNAcentral
CGAGGGGCGUGGCCUAGAGGGGCGGGGAGGCGGGGCCACGCCCCCAGGAGGCCGGCGCUUGGCCGCCUUGACCAGUCCGGAGCCGCGCGCGGACGCGAGGUGGGUGGGUCUGCGGAAGCGGGUUCCUCCUCCUUUAAGGUUCGGUGACUCGUGGGCAGCCGGCCGCAGUGUCCGUGCACUUGUUUUCCGCAGAAGGUGAUUAUCGUGGCAACUCCUGUUAGUGCCUUCGCCGGGCACCCAGCACCCGGUCUCUGGCCCUUGGCACUCAGCACCCGGCACCCAGCGCUCAGCCUGCAGAGCACCUGGGCGGUCAAGCAGGACGUCUCCCGCGGGGUCUUGCGCUCUGCCAAAAUCGAGAAAAUCAUUAGACUAGCAGCUCUCACAACUGUGCUACUGCUCGGCCAGGUCAUCAGCCACGGGGGAGGGACAGG